CGGGCCCCGCAGUGAGGCUGAGGAGAGUGGGGAACCCAAAGCCGGCAUCGCCGGCGGCCAGAAGCUCGAGAGCCCAUCUCCUGUCGUCCUCCGCAGGCCGGGACAGGCCUCCUGGGAGAGUCUAGGGCGCAGGAGGUUUAGGAUUUCGGAAAGCGGACUGCGAACGCCUGCUUGGGGGUUUGGUUUGAGCCCUGGCUCCGGCCUUACUCGUGUUUCCCCGCGAGGAUGGCUUCAGCCUUUCCUGAGGUUGAAGUGAAAAAUCUGGCUUUGAAAUCUCCAUGGAAGACUACGUCAUUUCAGUCUUGAAUUUGAUUCACUUCUCAUACUGACUUCUUAUUGUAUUAAAAAUAUUUUAAUUAAC
Molecule: long non-coding RNA, 361 nt
Organism: Galeopterus variegatus (Sunda flying lemur)
Lineage: Eukaryota; Metazoa; Chordata; Mammalia; Dermoptera; Cynocephalidae
Exons: 2
Source: RefSeq, a predicted model, not a curated record